CUACGGGCUGCAGCAGUGGGGAAUAUUGCACAAUGGGCGCAAGCCUGAUGCAGCCAUGCCGCGUGUAUGAAGAAGGCCUUCGGGUUGUAAAGUACUUUCAGCGGGGAGGAAGGGAGUAAAGUUAAUACCUUUGCUCAUUGACGUUACCCGCAGAAGAAGCACCGGCUAACUCCGUGCCAGCAGCCGCGGUAAUACGGAGGGUGCAAGCGUUAAUCGGAAUUACUGGGCGUAAAGCGCAUGCAGGCGGUUUGUUAAGUCAGAUGUGAAAUCCCCGGGCUCAACCUGGGAACUGCAUCUGAUACUGGCAAGCUGGAGUCUCGUAGAGGGGGGUAGAAUUCCAGGUGUAGCGGUGAAAUGCGUAGAGAUCUGGAGGAAUACCGGUGGCGAAGGCGGCCCCCUGGACGAAGACUGACGCUCAGGUGCGAAAGCGUGGGGAGCAAACAGGAUUAGAUACCCUCGUAGUC
This 464-nucleotide ribosomal RNA is filed under the name uncultured bacterium. RNAcentral describes it as "partial 16S ribosomal RNA". It matches the Rfam family "Bacterial small subunit ribosomal RNA", at positions 339 to 795 of the family's 1533-position model. The record is from RNAcentral.